GCUUGUGCGUGUGAAGCGGUUAUCACGUGUGCUUCACACGCACAAGCUCCCCGGUUCGAUCCCGGGCGGGAACA
RNAcentral lists this transfer RNA (74 nucleotides) under Cordylochernes scorpioides. RNAcentral's name for it is "tRNA-Val". The record is from RNAcentral. Lineage: Eukaryota; Metazoa; Arthropoda; Arachnida; Pseudoscorpiones; Chernetidae.